AGCGAACUCUGGCGGCAGGCCUAACACAUGCAAGUCGAACGGAUCCUUCGGGAUUAGUGGCGGACGGGUGAGUAACACGUGUGAACGUGCCCUUUGGUUCGGAACAACUCAGGGAAACUUGAUCUAAUACCGGAUGUGCCCUUCGGGGGAAAGAUUUAUCGCCAGUGGAGCGGCCCGGGUCUGAUUAGCUAGUUUGUGAGGUAAAGGAUCACCAAGGCGACGAUCAGUAGCUGGUUUGAGAGGAUGAUCAGCCACAUUGGGACUGAGACACGGACCAAACUCCUACGGGAGGCAGCAGUGGGGAAUCUUGCGCAAUGGGCGAAAGCCUGACGCAGCCAUGCCGCGUGAAUGAUGAAGGUCUUAGGAUUGUAAAAUUCUUUCACCGGGGACGAUAAUGACGGUACCCGGAGAAGAAGCCCCGGCUAACUUCGUGCCAGCAGCCGCGGUAA
Molecule: ribosomal RNA, 449 nt
Filed under: uncultured bacterium
Lineage: Bacteria
Description: partial 16S ribosomal RNA
Rfam family: Bacterial small subunit ribosomal RNA
Source: RNAcentral